Non-coding RNA from Petromyzon marinus (sea lamprey), 2739 nucleotides. Lineage: Eukaryota; Metazoa; Chordata; Hyperoartia; Petromyzontiformes; Petromyzontidae. The record is from RefSeq and is a predicted model, not a curated record.
GAAAUAACACUUACUACUCAAGGACAUUUUUGUUUUGUUACACAGCGUAAUUACAAGCAGUAUUCAAUCAAAAUGUCGUUUUUAUUUUUGGGGGGUUGGUUGCGUUUUGAGAAAUUCUUCUUCAAGCAAAAAAUAAACACUCAACACAUUUGUCAGUAACACGCUGUAGCCUUAAAAAGAUACAAAUAUAUAAUAGGCGACGUUUCGGGCAAUCACCCUUCUUCAUAGCCCAACCUUUAUCUCUUAAGUUUUCGCAACGCACUGCUGCAGGCAUCUUUGCUUGGCUGCGUAAGCUUAAGGUGCUGAAUUAGCCGGGCAACCGGUUGAACGGGAUAAUCCGUGUAACAAAUCAAAUACACUCAAAACUAAACCUCAAAUUAAGCCGUGUUCAGAGUAAAUAUAUUGCUCAGCCGAGCAUUGGGGCAGCGCUUAGUUCCAUCGGCAUACAGGGGGGGUGGAAAUCCCACAUUCCCAUGGCAGGAGCCAUAUUCUCCAGGGCACAACGACUGUGAACUUUUUGUGGUGCAUAUUGCAUUUGGAUGCCUCUGCGGUGUUCACCGUCAGCGCACUUGGACUUGCAAUCUGGAAGUCAGAAUCAGAUUAUUACAGAAUGGGAAUAUGUAUUUAUACUGGAUGAUUCAUUGAGAUGGUGAUUGGGUCCCGGGAAUGCAUUUACUCUGUGGAUUGUGCCAUGGGCUCACAAGGACGAACCUUCCCACAAAAACAAUAUGCUGGUGAGAUGUUCUUAAUCAUAUUUCGGAAUCAGAAUACUUAUUUUAUACUCGAGGAAUCCGAUGCGCUAAGAAGCAUUUUUUCCACAGUUGUCCAAUAAUCAAUCUCCCUGCACUGCAGUCGAAACAAUGGGGCGAGUUUCUUGAAAUCUACCCUUGGCCUCUUGUUAACCCAGUGGUAUAAAUGGGUAGAGCGCAGGUCAGAAGAUCGGCAGGUCGCGUGUUGUGGGGGGGGGGGUAAAGUGUGGGACUACUCUCAACGUUCUUGAGACGUGGAAGAGAAGGCCGAAUCCAACUGUAGAGAAGGGGGAAAUCAGGAGGACCCGAAUAAAAAUGCACGUGAGCACAGAGAGAGAACAUGCAACCUCCAAAUAUACAGCAAGGGUCAGGGUCGGGAUCGCACCAACGACCACCUGUAUACCAGGCGAGGGAGAUGACAUCUCGCCACCGUGGCACCCUACCGCCAAACAAGAUUUGAAGUUCAGUCAUAAUAUUAUUUGAUUCCUAGUUUACUAUUAAUAUUCCUAGUUUUUUUAUAAUUCACGUUGAAGUCAUUUUUUUUUGUUUAAGGUACCGCCGCUAAGGGUUUACGGUCUUAAGCUGCGAAUGCAUUUGUCUUGAUUUGACUCGCAAUUAAAAUGCCUCGAGUUACAUUGCGACGCGGCAGCCGUGCAUUGUUCCACUCGCCCAUCGAACAUUCCUGUCACGACCACAGAUGCAUACUUAGCAGACUGUACAAUACGGCCACGUCUAGUGGCAAGCAAUUUAUUUCGAGCGCGAUACAUAAUUCAUAAAUCCUCUCCAGCGCAGUUAGGUUCACCGAAUGCAGAGGCGUAAAUAAUUGAAAUAGACUUCUCAAGGACAUCCGUAUAGUGUAGGCUAUUUUUUAAUACAUAUAUUUUUUUCACAAACGUUAUAACAUUACUCCAAUAAGUGGAGACUAUUGUACACAAGAAGAAAAUAUUAAAAUAAGUCAGAAGUGCAUUUCCCCAAACGGAAGCCGAUGCAGCUACACGGAUCUUAUUCCAUUGGCGACACAACAGCGGCGGAAUUUAACGUGCUCUGAAGCGGGGCCAUGGCCCCGAAACGUCGCCCGCCACAUUCAUUUCUUUUUCAGGCCACGGUGUUGCUGACGAACGUGUUGAUAAUUGUGCUCGCGCUGCCUUCGCGGGGGUGAAUCAGCGACGCCAAAGAAUCUGCGGAAAGAAGUGACGCCCCCGUGAUCAGGUUGACUGCAGACUGUCGGCCCUCCCCUCGAGGCACCCUUCUGCGACUGCCGCUGGUGUCUCUCCAAAUCAUCGGAGGUUUAUUGAGUGAACGCUCUCACACGUGACUGCCCAUUCAAGCUCGAGCGACAGACAUGCAAGACAACUACAGGAGGAAACCAUACAUCUCGGAGAAAUCCCAUGGAGAACGUACCAACUCUACACAGAAAGGCACCUUACCCGAGUUGGGAAUCAAACCCAGGGCAUUCUUACUUUGGAGUCACGAGUGUUACCACAGCACCACCCUGUCGCAACAUCGUUAACUUAAAUUAUGAUACAGGGUGCUUCAAAAAUAAAUGUGAAUACUUCUGAGAAUUCGCAACAGCAGGUGACAUGUGCUGAUGGAGACGACCUGGAGAAGAUUCCAGGCUACGUGUUGACAACGAUCGUGAACAAGUGUGGAGACUCUUUGACUUUUUGAAGCUAUUAACAUUCCAUAUGUUAUCAGUGUUUAUCCGUUCUUUAUCCAUUAAAAACGAUAGUCCCAUUCAACUGUUAGCAUUUUUUUAAGCACCCUGUGUAUAUAAAUGAUAUACGUUCGUUGAAUUUAAAUGUUCGAUAUACAGUUGUAAACAAAUGUGAUUGAUUUAUUGAGAUUUCUCAUUAUUAUUUGUAUUAUUCUCAUGAAAGUGCAAGGUCAUCACCAGACGACUUGGUAGAGCGGUGUUCUUCAGUGCAAGGCCACUGGCGGGCCACUGGUGGGCCCCCUGGUGGCCUUUAGUGCCGGGCUCCUGACGUGAGCC